This is a non-coding RNA of Clostridium sp. W14A, 112 nucleotides long. Lineage: Bacteria; Bacillati; Bacillota; Clostridia; Eubacteriales; Clostridiaceae. The record is from Rfam.
AAAAUAGAAAAGGGGUGCUGGGUAUUUCCCGGCUGAGAGCAGGCGGAUUGACGCCUGAAACCCAUAACCUGAUCUGGAUAAUGCCAGCGUAGGAAAACGAAAGUUACGCUCC